RNAcentral lists this ribosomal RNA (468 nucleotides) under uncultured bacterium. Its description in RNAcentral is "partial 16S ribosomal RNA". It matches the Rfam family "Bacterial small subunit ribosomal RNA", at positions 28 to 507 of the family's 1533-position model. The record is from RNAcentral.
GACGAACGCUGGCGGCGUGCUUAACACAUGCAAGUCGAACGGAAAGGCCCUGCUUUUGUGGGGUGCUCGAGUGGCGAACGGGUGAGUAACACGUGAGUAACCUGCCCUUGACUUUGGGAUAACUUCAGGAAACUGGGGCUAAUACCGGAUAGGAGCUCCUGCUGCAUGGUGGGGGUUGGAAAGUUUCGGCGGUUGGGGAUGGACUCGCGGCUUAUCAGCUUGUUGGUGGGGUAGUGGCUUACCAAGGGUUUGACGGGUAGCCGGCCUGAGAGGGUGACCGGCGACAAUGGGACUACGAUACGGAGCAGAAUCCUACGGGAGGCAGCAGUGGGGAAUAUUGCACAAUGGGGGGGAGCCUGAUGCAGCAAAGCCGCGUGCGGGAUGACGGCCUUCGGGUUGUAAACCGCUUUCGAAUGUGACGAAGCGUGAGUGACGGUAAUGGGUAAAGAAGCACCGGCUAACUACGUG